AGAAAAAUAACAUAUACACAAAUCUUCAUAGCUUCAAGUGCCAGUUAUAUUCAUUGUACAAGAUAAUGAAGUUCCAACUGAAAAAUGUUAUGUUUUUUAUGAUAUUGAAACUCAAGUGAAAAAAAAUACACUUAUUACGCUCUAACUGAAUAUUUAAUUAUAAGUUAGAUUGCUUAUAGUUAAAUACAUUUUGUUUCUUAUUUAGACUGAUCAUUACAAGUCAUUGGCAACAAAUUUCUUGGUGAUAAAAUUGUACCACUUAUGGAACUGGACAACAUACUUGACUUCUCAUUAAUUAAUAAUUGGACAGAAAACAAUAUUCAUUCUCUAGGUUUAAUCAAAAUCACUAUGAAUACCUACAUUCGCCACCUGUAGACUCAUCGAAAUUGUAUUGGUAUUUUCCAGUUUUGAAAUUAAUUUGCAUGAUCUAAUUGAUUUUUAAUUUUUACAUAAACAUUCUGUAGAAUUAAAGUUCACUAAAAAACCAUUAACAUUGACUAUAUAACUGUUAUAGCCACUUGAUUUGUAAUAGUUAAUGCGAUUACCAGUGAUCUACUCAGACCAGACAUAUGAAUAGUCUUGCCUACCACAUCAAAACAUAACCUAGGCGGUUUCACAAGGAGGACACAUCAAUUUUUAGUUGUUUAGGCGCAGGAAUACAAAUUUUUCUCGUAAACAAAGUAUGUUAUACAUAUCAAUUAUGUUUUUUGUAAAUCAUUUAAAUCAAAAUAAUAUUAAUUACUUAGCUGGAAUCCUAAUGGAAUGCAAUCUGAAAUUACCUUUCAUUUGAUCUGGACAUUGAGAAAAUCAACAAUUGCUCAUAACAAAAGAAUAUAGUUAUUUACCCAUUAAAAAAUGAGGGUAAUUAUUUAGUUUAUGUCAAAACAUCUUAGCUUAAAAAAUUACCAGUCAUUUUGACAGUAAGUAAAAUAAAAAUUUGUUUAGAUAAAAUUAUAAGCUUCAAGCAUUUGUAGUAUGAUACAAGGAAAUAUACAUAUUUUU
This is a non-coding RNA of Cinara cedri, 1002 nucleotides long. The record is from the annotation of a GenBank genome assembly. NCBI's taxonomy places the organism in Eukaryota, Metazoa, Arthropoda, Insecta, Hemiptera, Aphididae.